CGGGGACAUUUAUAGAGGAGGACACUCCUACAGAGAUCAGCACAGAAACCAACUCAUCACUUUCAAAUGAGAGAUGUCGUAGUGGUCCAGCAACUGAAGCGUACCAAGAAGGAAGAGUAUCAUUUGGACCUCAGACUACAGUGAUCGCGGUUACCCGCACAGCUAUUCUGGUAGAGGGACAACAGGCUUGGAUCCAUGCCAGUCGUGUGAAGAAGGUCGCUUAUUUCACCACAGACUUCUGGGAAAGCCUUGUGCCUCUUAUUCUGGGCUGCCCUGAUCGUGUUCCUGCCAAUUUGGCUGACAACUAACUGUAUUUAUCAUCCUGAAGAUUUGGGACACAUAAAGAGCAUUUGUGGAGCUUCUAACAGUCCACAACAGAAUGAUAUGAAUAAUACACAUGACAGACACAAGAGAAAUGAAAACUCAGAAAGUUUUACAGAUAAAAUGUUAUUAUUGAAGUUUAAAUAUGCCUAUGCACAGAAAUCAGGAUAUGAAAAAUGUUGGAUAUGUAGUAAAUUAUACCCCUCCAGCGUUAGUAUUCCUCUCAUGGCUGUACCUUUAAAUAUCACAAAUGUUCUAUUAUUGUUAAAAUACAAUUAGUACUACAAUGGCAAUUAGAACUGAGGAAGAUCACCCCAGGGAAGAGAUAGAGUGUUAUCAGAUUGUCAGAUUAGCAGAUUUGUAUGAUGCCAAGAUGGGUGAUAUGAAUGAGUAAAAGAUAUGUAUCCACAUACACCUUAAGAAGAUCUUUGCUCCACAUAGAUGUGAAGUAGCACUGUGGACCCUUUGGUGUCAUACUAGGUAGAGAAGAUAUGGUAGUGACCCCGCAAUAGGGUACUGAUAAUGUUGAGAUAUAUAUAUCU
This is a long non-coding RNA of Rana temporaria (common frog), 863 nucleotides long. RefSeq lists it as uncharacterized. The record is from RefSeq and is a predicted model, not a curated record. Lineage: Eukaryota; Metazoa; Chordata; Amphibia; Anura; Ranidae. The transcript is spliced from 2 exons.